RNAcentral lists this transfer RNA (73 nucleotides) under Saccoglossus kowalevskii. Its description in RNAcentral is "tRNA-Glu". It matches the Rfam family "tRNA". From Rfam's summary of the family: Transfer RNA (tRNA) molecules are approximately 80 nucleotides in length. Their secondary structure includes four short double-helical elements and three loops (D, anti-codon, and T loops). Further hydrogen bonds mediate the characteristic L-shaped molecular structure. tRNAs have two regions of fundamental functional importance: the anti-codon, which is responsible for specific mRNA codon recognition, and the 3' end, to which the tRNAs corresponding amino acid is attached (by aminoacyl-tRNA synthetases). tRNAs cope with the degeneracy of the genetic code in two manners: having more than one tRNA (with a specific anti-codon) for a particular amino acid; and 'wobble' base-pairing, i.e. permitting non-standard base-pairing at the 3rd anti-codon position. Lineage: Eukaryota; Metazoa; Hemichordata; Enteropneusta; Harrimaniidae. The record is from RNAcentral.
UCCCAUAUGGUCUAGUGGUUAGGAUUUGGGCGCUUUCACUGCCAAGGCCCGGGUUCAAUUCACGGUGUGGGAA